Molecule: RNase P RNA, 394 nt
Filed under: Moorena sp. SIO3C2
Lineage: Bacteria; Bacillati; Cyanobacteriota; Cyanophyceae; Coleofasciculales; Coleofasciculaceae
Description: RNase P RNA component class A
Rfam family: Bacterial RNase P class A
About the family: Ribonuclease P (RNase P) is a ubiquitous endoribonuclease, found in archaea, bacteria and eukarya as well as chloroplasts and mitochondria.
Source: RNAcentral
AAGAGUUGGUGCUGCGGUUGCGGGCUAGGCUUGACCUAGUCUGAGGAAAGUCCGGGCUCCUGAAAGGUCAGGCUUGCUGGGUAACGCCCAGUGCGGGUGACCGUGAGGAUAGUGCCACAGAAACAUACCGCCGAUGGAUCGGGCAGCUCUAGGGUUGACUCUGAACCAGGUAAGGGUGCAAAGGUGCGGUAAGAGCGCACCAGCAGCAUCGAGAGGUGCUGGCUCGGUAAACCCCGGCCAGGAGCAAGGUCGCAGGGGUCAGGGUUGACCUUUUUCCAGCCCCGCUUUUGGUGUACCGCUCGAGGCAACUGGUAACAGUUGUCCCAGAUAGAUAACCGCCCGUUGGUGCAAGCGCCAGCGAGAACAGAACCCGGCUUACGGCCGACUCUUUCCA